This is a long non-coding RNA of Ctenocephalides felis (cat flea), 155 nucleotides long. RefSeq lists it as uncharacterized. The record is from RefSeq and is a predicted model, not a curated record. NCBI's taxonomy places the organism in Eukaryota, Metazoa, Arthropoda, Insecta, Siphonaptera, Pulicidae. The transcript has 3 exons.
UUAAAAGAUUGGGCAAAACAGAUUUUGAUAAUAGUGCCGAUAAACGUCUUCUGGUGGUUCUCCAGGCGAUUUUUGUAUUCAUUGGCGUAUCUUGUGAUACAGUAUGCGGGCCCGUGUCCUGAAGGAGCACCCAGGUCAGUACAUAUUUUGGGGCG